AGAGUUUGAUCCUGGCUCAGGACGAACGCUGGCGGCGUGCCUAAAACAUGCAAGUCGAACGGUGUAGCAAUACACAGUGGCGAACGGCGGAGUAAUACAUAAGAAACGUGCCCUGAAGACCGGGAUAGUCAUUGGAAACGAUGGGUAAUACCGGAUGUGGUCACUCUCUGGCAUCAGAGGGUGAUUAAAUGGUUUUUCGCUUCAGGAGCGUCUUAUGGCCUAUCAGGUAGUUGGUGGGGUAAUGGCCUACCAAGCCGACGACGGGUAGCGGGUCUGAGAGGAUGAUCCGCUCGAGUGGGACUGAGACACGGCCCACACACCUACGGGUGGCAGCAGUUGGGAAUCUUGCACAAUGGGGGAAACCCUGAUGCAGCGACGCCGCGUGGAGGAUGACGGGUCUAGGCCUGUAAACUCCUUUUAACGGGAAAGACUUAGGACGGUACCCGUUGAAUAAGGACCGGCUAACUACGUGCCAGCAGCCGCGGUAAGACGUAGGGUCCAAGCGUUGUCCGGAUUUACUGGGCGUAAAGAGCGCGUAGGCGGUCUGUUAAGUGUGAAGUGAAAUCUCCAGGGCUCAACCCGGAAACUGCUUCGCAUACUGGCAGACUGGAGGGAUGCAGAGGUUUGUGGAAUUCCUGGUGUAGCGGUGAAAUGCAUAGAUAUCAGAGGAACACCCAUGGCGAAGCAGCAAACUGGGCAUCAUCUGACGCUGAGGCGCGAAAGCGUGGGUAGCAACAGGAUUAGAUACCCUGGUAGUCCACGCCCUAAACGAUGGAUACUAGGCGUAAGAGUAUCGACCCUCUGUGCCGCAGCUAACGCAUUAAGUAUCCCGCUGGGGAGUACGGCCGCAAGGUUGAACUCCAAUGG
RNAcentral lists this ribosomal RNA (867 nucleotides) under uncultured soil bacterium. Its description in RNAcentral is "bacterial SSU rRNA". It matches the Rfam family "Bacterial small subunit ribosomal RNA", at positions 8 to 907 of the family's 1533-position model. The record is from RNAcentral.